CCUCUUUUUUUUCAUGUCUCUUACAGAUUACCAACACCCAGUAUUCUGUUGACUUUCGUUAUUCAUUAAAUAUGAAGUUCAAGGUCGAUGUAGCUACAGCUAAUAAAUACACAUUGUGAUUAUGGUUUCAAACCCAAAUAACUUCCAUUGUAAAGCAGUAAGAUUUUGAAAAGGAAAACACUGAAAGAGGCUUCCUGCCUCUGCUGGAUGAUUGAGCAAUUCUAUAUAAGUGGGGUGAAAACAAAGUCACUGCUAUAAUUCAAAUUAUCAGCAUAAUAUGCUGCUUUGUAUUGCUCUGCCUGCACCCUCUUUCUGCAGAGGAACCAAAAUGUCAAGCUCGGGUAACAACCUCUGCUUAUCUCCAGCAAGGUGUUGCAAUAUCUGGACAAACGUCAGAGGGCAGGGAGGUGCCUGCAGGCUGGGAACCUGAAGGUCUUCUGAGCCCCUGAGGCUGCGCAGGGCAAAGAUCGCAUCCAGCACGUCCACUGCUGAGCACACAGGUUGUCAUGUAAACUUAAAGCUUCCAAAGACACUCACAGCAUUUUAAGCUCCCACAGAUUGUUUGAGAAAAGAACUAUGAAGAUUUCCAUGUACCUUUCUUUCGCUUUACAGUCUCGAAACAAACAGCACACAGGAAGGUUAAACCAAGAUAAGGAAGAAAGAAAAUCAACAGAAAUUCCGUUGUUGUUUGCACAAUUCCCAUCUCACAUUUGGAAAGACCACAACUAUUAGAUGUGCCUGUGUGCUUGGAGAGGGUUUGGGGUCUUUGUAGUUUUGGUUUGUUAUUUUUUAGGAAGCCUUAAGCCUCACUGGCUGCCAGCGUGGACUCUGCAAAAACCUCUCAAAAGAACAGAAAACAAUGUCCCACAACUCCCUACUCUUUGGAUUUCGGGGCGGGGGGGGGAGCUGCUUUCAUUGUGUAAGUAGAUAGAAUCAUAGAAGAGUUUGGGUUGGAAGGGACCUUAAAGAUCAUCCAGUUCCAACCCCCUCCCAUGGGCAGGGACACCUCCCACUGGCUCAGGCUGCCCAAGGCCCAUCCAACCUGGCCUUGAACACCUCCAGGGAUGGGGCAGCCACACCUUCCCUGGGCAACCUGGGCCAGAGCCUCACCACCCUCAUGGUGAAGAAAUUCUUCACUAUGUCUAGAUCAUUGGCUACUUUGCCAGAAUGACACAAGACAUUCAGUGAUGCAGAUAAGGCAAAUCUGCUAAGCUUAGGCACCGGAGCACGGAACGCCACAACUAGCAUUUCAGCUCUCCAAGCAAUUUUGUUAUUCCAGUUCUGCAGUAGAUCUUUGAUUUUGCAGAAAGCCUUCUCUCAUUGGAAAUCUACUCAAACUACCAGUUCAGCAGCACCAGCACUGCUGUGGAACAGCAGCAUAGGGAUCUGUUGAUGAAGGUAUGAGAAGGAAGUAUGAUUUUUCACCCCUAGUUGGGGGUAUCUCAGCUGAGAGAGGCUCUGCUGCGAUGGCAGUAGCUAGACAAAGACGAUGUUCUUCCAGGAGCGAAAGCCAAAGUAACCAUCACAGUGCUAAGGGAGGAGACUACAGAUACAUCGGUAAACUUGUUAAAAAUAGAGCACCUGGGACCCUUUAUAGUCAUCCCUAUGCCUGUGUGUAAAUGGUUUUAAUUGUUGUUAUAGUGACACAGAAUUAAAAUGCACUAUACGUUUGUGCGUGAUUGCAUGUAUUUCACCUGCGCUUUUGAACACAACGGGUGUGGAAAGAAAAGUAGUGAGGAAGUUACCCCUGACAUCUGUAAAUAAACAACAGAGAGAGCACAGCUAAUUAAAGUGAACAUAGAAACCCUUAGUCAGGUGAGCAAUCUGUCCCCUGCAAAUCGUUUUAUCGAUGUCAGGUGACACUCCUUCUGUGAGGCAGGAUUAUUGACUUGACCAAGGGCUUGCAGGAUCAGGUCCAAACAUUACUCCAGAAAGAGUCAUCUUAGGUCUUCAAGACUGUCUUAAUUAUUUUGCCCUUUGUAAAGUACCCAUUCAACUGAAAUCUCCUCUGAUAAAUUCAAUUUCUCCUCUGGAUUUUGUAUUGCCUUUCUGUUGGGUUUGAGUUAUUUUCUUGCAGUCAUAGCGACUGGAAGAGUGACCUGAGGUUUAAUUCAGUAACACAAGGUUACCCUCUUGCAAGAAUAGCUUACAUUCCACUCCUAAGCUGUCUGGUUGUAGUUCAUCAUUACAAAGAAUCAGAGUUCAUAUACUGUCUCUCACUGAGUUCAAGCAAUGUCAGUAUAUCACUGUUUCCCUUGAAAUGCUUCGUAUAAGAUUUCAGCAUCAUAUUAUUACAUAAGAAAUGCAGAAAUCUGGCUUGCAGAAGGCUUUAAAGCUUUUAAUGCAGAAAUGACAAAAAAUAAAGUCCUUUUCUUAUAUAAUUUCGAUCGUAUUAUGCCUCUAGAGUGAAAAAGAUGGCUUGUAUUGCAGCAGCGCUUCACACAUAUCAGUCAUGUAUCAUUAUAAUAAAGUCAUAUAACAUAUUCAUGGUUUUCCUGCUGGACUUUUAGCCUUGCUUCAAUCUUAUGCUAUUUUGUUAUUAAUCACACAGCAGUAUAUUUAGAAGAUUGUUACCAAUGCUCAGAUCUUGAUUUCAAUUAAAAAAACCCAAAAGAUUAUCACUUGCUAAACACAGAAAAGAAUUUAGAUCAGAGUUUCAUGUAUCUAAAAUCUACCCAUUUAAGACUGGUGAACAGUGAGGCACUGGUUUAGUAUCAAAAUGAAGACUUAGGAGUGCAGGUAUCAGAGUGGGGAAGGGGUACCUGAAAAUGCAGGGCUUUUUAAUGGUUUUAGAGGAGGGAAAAAAAAUCCCAUCUAGUGUAGAAUGCAUCAGGAAGGAUGAUAAAAUAUCUCAUGGACUGACAACGGGGAGUAGAAGCACGUCCUGCAAAACAAGCAUCUCUGCUGAGGUUCAGGUUCUCCUGGGAGCAGUAAAGCACCAGUCCUGCUGUCUUCCACGAAGGUUUUAUUUAUGGAAACAGGUUGAAAGUGAGAGCUGAGGUCCUUCUAGCAAAGCAUCCCAGCUGUGCCUACGGGCCAAGAAAUGCUGUUUUCUCUUGGAUUCUGCUUAUUCAGGAGCUUUGCUUCCAAUUCACGUGGCAUUUAGUAUCAUUUUUUACAUUGUUGAUUUGCUGGGAGCCAGGGGAUGGUGUUUAAGGUGCUAAAUGCUGUCAUUCUGCCCCAAAUGGAAUGACUCCACAAGUAAACGUGAGCUAACAAAAAUAAAAGUGGAAAAUAUCUCAUAGCACAAGCGGCAAAGCCCCAUUUUCUCCACCACAGUACAGUUUAACAAACAAUCUUGAGUUGUUAUUGUUGAAAACAGUAUCACUGGAGAUGUCUUUAGGAAGCAGGAAGCACUGCAGCAGAUCCACCAUAGAUUUAGGGACAUUCCCAUAAAUACAGCAAUGCAGCUCGAGCAGUUGGAUGAAUGUUUGAGCUGGUGCAUUUUUGCAUGAGUCAUUUGUUUAUUGCCGGCUUUAGCAGAUGAAUCAAUGACCCCGUGUAUCAAAGUCUCCAAUGUUGAUUUGUUUUGUUUUCUUUCCAAAAUGUUAAAUUGAAACCUCUAUUCCAUUCACCAGGUAAUCUUGCAAAUGAUUAACCCCAUGAUCCAUAAUGAAAUAAAUCAUCAACAGCAAACCAGAAAGGUCUUACCAGGAGAAAAAUAAGCGUUUAAUAAAAACCCAAGCAUUAAACACUAAAUUAUUUCUCUCUAAUUUGAGUUGCUGUUUUUUCUAGCUAGAAAAACGUGAUCCCAAAUGAAAAUCGUUCCCAGAAAAGACCAUCAGUAGCCCACGCUGUACUUUAGAAGCUUGAGUUUCUCUCAAAAUUGCAUUUUUACAAGACUGAGUUUCUCUGAAAAUUGCAGACAGCCUCACUGCAAGAAGAGGGGAGAAGAGCAGGACAACAAAUCUGAAAUCUUUCAUGCUUAUAUCAUUUCAGCUCAAUGUAAUUGAUGGCAAACUGACCACAGUGUUCUUACCCCUCCUCCCUCAAUAAUAUUGUUUAAAUUCAGCUAACAUCAGUUCAAAGAAACUGCUCAUAGACUGUUUUUCUGGACUUGUGCAUCAGCUGAACUAAUAAUUUCUUCCCAAAGCCAGCAAGGCUUAUCAGCAGAGUAACCCCAUGAGAGAUUUCAAUGCAUUAUUUUAAAAGAGAGAAUCAGACUCUGAAAAUAUUUUCCUUCUGGGAUCAACUCACUCAUUUUUAUCAACAUAACAAAGAAAACAUUGGCUGUGAGAAAAAACCUUCACUGUUUUACGAACAUAAUAAAUCAGGGCCAGUUGCUUGGCAUUCUAGUUUCACUAAAACAAACCUGCAAACAUUUAAGGUGCCUGUACUCCAAAUAUUCAUUCUUGCAUGCAUGCAGUAAGAUCUAAAGCUCUAAAGUUCUUCUGUUUCUUUCUAUUUGCCCCUUAUAACUAGAAAAGGGUCUGAUCAGGAAUGCCCUGAGUAGAGAUUUCAGUGUCAGCCUUCCCCACUUAACCAUCUCUUCAGGGACAGACAAAAGUCUUGAAAAGUUACGGUAAGGCUCUGGACAGGAGUCAAGUCAGCACUAGUUCUGAUGUUGAAUUCAGGUCUACAUAUAAGUCUCUCCCUUUAAAGCCAAGUGCAGGCUUUUUAAUGAGAUUUUAAUAGAACUAUAGAAUCAUAAAAGAGUUGGGGUUGGAAGGGACCUUAAAGCCCAUCCAGUUCCAACCCCCUGCCAUGGGCAGGGACACCUCCCACUGGCUCAGGCUGCCCAAGGCCCAUCCAACCUGGCCUGGAACACCUCCAGGGAUGGGGCAGCCACAGCUUCCCUGGGCAACCUGGGCCAGGGCCUCACCACCCUCAUGGUCAAGAAAUUCCUCCUUCUGUCCAGCCUAAAUCUGCUCCUCUCCAAUUUAUACCUGUUCCCCCUCAUCCUAUCCCCACAAACCUUUGUGAACAGCCCCUCCUCAGCUUCUUGUAGCCCCUUCAGGUACUGGAAGCUGCUCUAAGGUCUCUUCAGAGCCUUCUCUUCUCCAGGCUGGACAAUCCCAACUCUCUCAGCCUGUCCUGAUACAGGAGGUGCUCCAGCCCUCAGAUCAUCUUUGUAGCCUCCUCUGGACCCGUUCCAACAGCACCAUCUCCUUCUGAUGUUGAGGAUUCCAGAGAUGGACCCAAUCCUACAGAUGAGCAGAAUCUCCUCCCUCGCCCUACUGGCCACAAUGCUUUUGAUGCAGUCUAGGACAGGGUUGGCCUUCUGGGCUGUGAGCGCACGUUGCCGGCUCAUGUUGAGCUUCUCACCAACCAGCACCCUCAAGUCCUUCUCCACAGGGCGGCUCUCAAUCACACUAUUCCCCAUUGGAUGC
Long non-coding RNA from Cuculus canorus (common cuckoo), 5330 nucleotides. RefSeq lists it as uncharacterized. The transcript is spliced from 3 exons. Lineage: Eukaryota; Metazoa; Chordata; Aves; Cuculiformes; Cuculidae. The record is from RefSeq and is a predicted model, not a curated record.